GCGAUUCUACAACGUUGUGGGCGUUUCGGGCUUAUCUUCACCGUCAGCUUUCUGGAGAUUCGUGCUACUUGCACUCUUGCAGAAACAACCUGCUCUUGUACACCUUCUUCUCCCUAAAGGAUCCAAAGUGUACAGGGCACAACUUCUCUUCUUCCCCGUGACGAUGUCUUCCUUAUCCUCUCACGCCCGUCGUCUCCACCACCUCCUUCCCUGUUUCUUUCCUUGCCGGCCGCUGGCCGUGGCCGAAGAAGAACCUGGCGUAUACCAGAUUACCAGGCCAAUCUUACCAGAUCCCAAACUUCAAGCUCGCGUCCUCGCUGCUCGUCUGCGCGCCGCGGCUCCCCGUCGUCCUUCUCGACCUCAUCCUCUACGGGCGAGCUUUUCUCCAACCUAUGGGAGCCAGCUGGAGCUGCUACAUUAAGAUCCAGAUUAUUUCUUGGAGCCUCUCCCUUGAUUCUUUUUCUUUGAAUCAAGAUUCACUGAGAUACAGAUCUCUAUUUCGAAAAAAAAACAAAGAUCCAGAUCAGUGUUCAUCAAGACAUUUUUAUGCACGAAUCCAUGGUACAGGUUCUUACAUGGCAUUUUUUUUUGUUAGGGAUGGAUGUUUGCUAAUAUCCAUGAUUUGUUUUGGUUCCUCGGCUUUAUCAAGAACUUUGUAUGAAUCCAUGGCCCAGAUCUUUUUUUC
Lolium perenne is the source of this 685-nucleotide non-coding RNA. The record is from RefSeq and is a predicted model, not a curated record. Lineage: Eukaryota; Viridiplantae; Streptophyta; Magnoliopsida; Poales; Poaceae.